RNAcentral lists this long non-coding RNA (561 nucleotides) under Eucalyptus grandis. RNAcentral's name for it is "long non-coding RNA (EGRA_LNC003386)". The record is from RNAcentral. Lineage: Eukaryota; Viridiplantae; Streptophyta; Magnoliopsida; Myrtales; Myrtaceae.
AACUUGGGCCAUUAUACAUCUGAAACAAUCUCUCUUAUUAAAUUGAUGCAAGAAUCAUUUCGACGCAUCCUUAUUCACCAGUAACAUUAUUUAAUUCAAAGCCCCUAGGUGAAGUUUCUUCUGGAGUGAAAGACUCCAAAUGGGGUUGAAAACCAUAUCCAAAAAGAAUAAGUUAAUAAAUCAUACGACUGUAGAAAUUUGCGGGAUACUACUAAACUGUCAAGAAAUUGAAAAUAAGUUGAUUCUUACAUUGAACAUUCUAAUAUGAUAACAUUUACGAAUUAUGAGAUUAUAGUUGAAUGUAAUGCUCCUAAAGGAGUCUAAAACUCGUAACGAAUGCGCCAAUAGUCACUAAAUGUUCUAUAUAGCCUGAAAUUGACAUGCCUAAAGUGCUCAAGGAUGAGAUGUUCCUACUUACCACGAAAUCAUAGUAGAGGACUUUGCCUUGAGCUAUGCAAAAGAGCAGGGUCAAGGUGAACGCACACCCUAGAAAUGUCCCCAUCCUCUCUCCCUCCCUCUCUCUCUCUCUCUCUCUCUCUCUCUCUCUCUCUCUCUCUCUCU